GUGGGGAAUAUUGGGCAAUGGGCGAAAGCCUGACCCAGCAACGCCGCGUGAAGGAAGAAGGUCUUCGGAUCGUAAACUUCUAUCCUUGGUGAAGAUAAUGACGGUAGCCGAGAAGGAAGCCCCGGCUAACUACGUGCCAGCAGCCGCGGUAAUACGCAGGGGGCAAGCGUUGUCCGGAAUGAUUGGGCGUAAAGGGCGCGUAGGCGGCCUGGUAAGUCUGGAGUGAAAGUCCUGCUUUUAAGGUGGGAAUUGCUUUGGAUACUGUCGGACUUGAGUGCAGGAGAGGUAAGUGGAAUUCCCGGUGUAGCGGUGAAAUGCGUAGAGAUCGGGAGGAACACCAGUGGCGAAGGAGACUUACUGGACUGUAACUGACGCUGAGGCGCGAAAGUGUGGGGAGCAAACAGGAUUAGAAACCCCUGUAGUCC
Molecule: ribosomal RNA, 425 nt
Filed under: uncultured bacterium
Lineage: Bacteria
Description: partial 16S ribosomal RNA
Rfam family: Bacterial small subunit ribosomal RNA
Source: RNAcentral